AGUGAACGCUGGCGGUAGGCCUAACACAUGCAAGUCGAACGGCAGCACAGUAAGAGCUUGCUCUUACGGGUGGCGAGUGGCGGACGGGUGAGGAAUACAUCGGAAUCUACUUUUUCGUGGGGGCUAACGUAGGGAAACUUACGCUAAUACCGCAUACGACCUACGGGUGAAAGCAGGGGAUCUUCUGACCUUGCGCGAUUGAAUGAGCCGAUGUCGGAUUAGCUAGUUGGCGGGGUAAAGGCCCACCAAGGCGACGAUCCGUAGCUGGUUUGAGAGGAUGAAUAGCCACACGGGAACUGAGAAACCGUCCACACUCCUGCGGGGAGCCACAGUGGGGAAUAUUAGGCAAUGGGGCCAAGGCUGAUCCAGGCCUACCGCGGAGGGCAAGAAGGACCUCGGGUUGGUAAGCCCUUUUGUUGGGAAAGAAAAACAGCAGGUUUAUACCCCGCUGUUCUGACGGUACCCAAAGAAUAAGCACCGGCUAACUUCGUG
RNAcentral lists this ribosomal RNA (492 nucleotides) under uncultured bacterium. RNAcentral's name for it is "partial 16S ribosomal RNA". It matches the Rfam family "Bacterial small subunit ribosomal RNA", at positions 29 to 507 of the family's 1533-position model. The record is from RNAcentral.